AGCCUGAUCCAGCCAUGCCGCGUGAAGGAAUAAGGUCCUAUGGGUCGUAAACUUCUUUUGACGCAGAGCAAUAAGGGACACGCGUGUUCCGAUGAGAGUAUGCGUCGAAUAAGCAUCGGCUAACUCCGUGCCAGCAGCCGCGGUAAUACGGAGGAUGCGAGCGUUAUCCGGAUUUAUUGGGUUUAAAGGGUGCGUAGGCUGUUGGAUAAGUCAGCGGUGAAAUCACCACGCUUAACGUGUUGUGUGCCGUUGAAACUGUCCAGCUUGAAUGCGCUCGUCGUGAGAGGAAUGUGUGGUGUAGCGGUGAAAUGCAUAGAUAUCACACAGAACACCGAUUGCGAAGGCAUCUCACGAGGGCGCUAUUGACGCUGAUGCACGAAAGCGCGGGUAUCGAACAGGAUUAGAUACCCUGGUAGUCCGCGCUGUAAACGAUGAUGACUAACCGUUGGUCUGGUAUGGAUCAGUGGUCAAGCGAAAGCGUUAAGUCAUCCACCUGGGGAGUACGGCCGCAAGGCUGAAACUCAAAGGAAUUGACGGGGGCCCGCACAAGCGGAGGAACAUGUGGUUUAAUUCGAUGAUUCGC
RNAcentral lists this ribosomal RNA (583 nucleotides) under Bacteroidetes bacterium oral taxon 281. RNAcentral's name for it is "bacterial SSU rRNA". It matches the Rfam family "Bacterial small subunit ribosomal RNA", at positions 380 to 962 of the family's 1533-position model. Lineage: Bacteria; Pseudomonadati; Bacteroidota. The record is from RNAcentral.